CGUCAGCGGCGGCGGCCAUCGUUGCCGGAGAGAAUCACUCCUUGGGCGGCGGCAGCGUCAACCGGCAGCCGAGGAGGAGGAACCGCAUCCAGCGCCAUCAAAACCCGAAUAGAGCACGCAGGCAAGUAGUGGCGAUGCUAGGGGCCGUGGUGGUCAGCUUUUUCGUCUGUUUACUACCGUACCGGCUCCUGAGUCUGUUCCAGGAGUCGGAAAGUGUUAGUCCCGAAAUUUUCUACAUGAUGGUCAAUUUUUGUCGCGUCAUGGUCUACCUCAACUCGGCUAUCAAUCCGAUCUUGUAUAAUCUGAUGUCGUCCAAGUUCCGAAACGGCUUCUUGCGCCUCUUCGGCUUCAAGGGAUUCGCCCGCCAGGGCACCGUCACCAGCUCCUCGAUGGCCAACACCAACACGACCAGCACGACGAACACGACGUCGUCGUCGGCUGCCGUGGCGCAGGCCAACGCUUCGCUGGCCCAUCACGGCACCCUUUCUUUGCACCGACCGCUUCACUAUCGUCUGUCCAGCCAAAUGCAACCCAUCUAAAUUGAUAUAUAUUUUGCAAUGAAAUCAGACUUGCAAUUUCGUGAGAGAAGCAUCUCAUAUCAACCAACUAUUAGACGGAAUUUUUCUAUAUACGAACUCGACACUGCACUUCAAACUCAUUUUUCUUUUGAUUUCUACACAUCACAAACAGACGCUAGAUACUUUUCUCUCUCUCACUUGUUUAAUCCAUUUUUCUAUCCUUCCUCGCUUGACGAUCAAUUCUAAUUUGAUUUUUCGUGGAUUCAAUAUAUGUGUAUUGUAUAUUUAUAUCUGUGUAUAUUUGUAAAGUUGCCAUGCUGUGCUGGUGGAUGUACAACCGAUACUUUUGCUCAUAAUCAUACAUGAUCGCCGUUUUGUCGAUGACAGAGAACGUUUGAAUGAUUUGAUCGCGCCGCAAUUAUUGAAAAAGGACCCGAUGCGUUUUGUCUCGUCUUGUCAUUUAUAUAUACCUCCAAAACACGGUGUUACGUCUGGCUUAUUCUAUGAUAUACCUUCGUACUGGAAAUACUUAAAUUUAAAAAAAAACAAAAAAACAAACAGAUUUCACCCGUUAAUCAUUACCGUGUUUUGAGGGAGGGGGGCACAUAUAUUUCCCCGAGUGCUGUUUUGAUUAUAAUUAUCCAUUUCGUUCUCUGUGACGACUUUAAAAAAAUCACGCCGCUUUGAAGCAUCGUCACACCCCUUUCUGAUGGUUUGGGGAGCGACGAGCGUGUUUCGCAUCUACAAUACAUCUUCUAUAAUUUCCUACGAUAUGUGUACACGGCCCAACGUCAGAAAUUGUCUUUUUUUGCAUCAAUUAAUAUAUACACGAAACGGCGAAACGCAUCGACGUACACACAACUUCUCCUCAUGAUAACGUUCCUUCUCCGGGGGCUUUCAGAAGAAUCAGCUCACCAGUCACAAGCAUGUUUACAAAAAAGAAAAAGAAAAAAAAAGAAAGAAAAGAAAGAAGAGAUUGAAGAAGAAAGAAAAAAGAAUUAUUGUCCAAUAACAUCUUCCUUCAUGAAGACCAAAAGUCCCCUAAUAUAAAUUGUAUUUGUACAGUAAAUGUCAAUAAACUCCGGCAUAUUCCGCCAUGGGUUGCUAUACUA
RNAcentral lists this long non-coding RNA (1630 nucleotides) under Daphnia pulicaria. RNAcentral describes it as "uncharacterized LOC124338185". Lineage: Eukaryota; Metazoa; Arthropoda; Branchiopoda; Diplostraca; Daphniidae. The record is from RNAcentral.